GCCGCCACUGCUCCGGCCGCCGCCUCAGCGCCACACAUCGCCGGGACACCCGCGCCGGGCAGCCCCGCCGGCUGCCCGCCGGCGCUGUGCCCAGCAGGUGCUCCGGGUCGCCCCUCUGGCCGCCGGGCUCCGUGACCCCAGGACUCCACGCGCCCCUCGCAGCCGUCCGCUGGGGUUUCCGAGCCACCCCGGACCCGCGCGAGUGACAUGCAGGCACUCGCCUGGCCUCCUCAAGACGCGCCGCUCACUAGACAGGUCCCUGGGCCUUCCGCUGCGCCGGCGCCGCGCUAAUGACGCAGGAGGCGGCCCAAGCGGACUGGGCCUGUGAAGGCUGUGGCUGGAAGGCAGUGUCUGCGAAAGUGUCGGGGCUAUCCUUCCAUCUCCUACUUCCAGAAACAACCUGUGCAAAGAGUGGCAGCUCAUGACAAGGAGGGAACUGAGGCCUGAAUGGGUCUCAGUUGAUGCAAAGGAAGGAAUUGUGCGUCCUAUAUAAGGGCAGCAAUUGCUCCAUUUACGGAACGUUAAGCUUCCUUCAAUCUCUUUUCUCCCAUUGCCUCCUUUUAUCUUUUUGUGUUGUGAGGUAAGUCUGUUCUUAUGCCCCAUUUACAGAUAUGGUAUCUGAGACCCAGGGCCGACUCUCUUGCGCACGGCGGAGAAGUGGUCGAGACAGAAUUGGAACCUAGGUUUGUGGUCUUUAUACCAGGAACCUGUCGAACGAUCUUACAGGAGCUUUAGCUCAUUACCUGUUGAUUGUUCUUUUUUUGCUCACUUUAUUUACUGAGCACCACUGCGCCGGGCUUCCCAGGCCCUAGAGAAACGAGAACAUGGCAUGGCACCUGCGCAUGGACCUUUCUGGAGAAGUAAGGAGACAAUAAACGGAAUAAUACAGUGUGGUGUUAAGAAGAAAAUGAAAAGGAUGCCGAGCCCUCAUGAUAAGUGUAGACCUGUGCCUGUGUGCUUCCAAUGAAAAGUAAAUAGAAGAGGUGUGCACAUGUUCCAGGCCUGGCUCAUAACAACCUUCAACAGGUGCUCCUCUAGCCUCUUUCUCUGCCAGCUGGAAGCAAAUAACCACCAGAUUCUGGAAAAGACAAAACUCCUCAAGACUGAAGAUUCCUGAGUGGAGAACCUAUCUCGCCAACCUGCAUGUCCACUCAGAACUGUUAUUUUCAAAGGAAAAAAAAAACUAAUAAUAAUAAUC
Long non-coding RNA from Marmota monax (woodchuck), 1198 nucleotides. RefSeq lists it as uncharacterized. NCBI's taxonomy places the organism in Eukaryota, Metazoa, Chordata, Mammalia, Rodentia, Sciuridae. The record is from RefSeq and is a predicted model, not a curated record. The transcript has 2 exons.